Molecule: RNA transcript, 5656 nt
Organism: Vespa velutina
Lineage: Eukaryota; Metazoa; Arthropoda; Insecta; Hymenoptera; Vespidae
Gene name: probable cytochrome P450 301a1, mitochondrial
Exons: 11
Source: RefSeq, a predicted model, not a curated record
CCUAAACGAAACUAAGAUUUAUCUUUUUAAUCGUUAGACGAUAUUUUAGAUUUUGAAGAUAUCCGAAAUUUUAUUUUUGACGCAUUACACAAUGCAAAUAGAAGAUGAGUUUACUUAAAAAGAUAAUGAAUUAUAUCUUUCCGACGUGCUUUGAAUUUCGAAUUUAAUUUAGGCAAUAUCUUUGUCUCCGGCAAUACUUUGUAAUAUUUAUCCUGAAUCAAUUCAAUAAAUUGAAUUUUUGAUUCCUCUGAAAUUUGAAAAGCAAUCCAAACUGGAUAUAUUCAUUGUUGAAUGAUAUAAAACUGUUUUAAUGUUUUCAUAAAAUGAUAUAUCAUUGAUAUUUCAAAGAAAGCAUUAUAAAUUCAAAAUCAUCUCGUGCAAAUGUGUGUGUAUAUAUACAUAUAUAUAUAUACAUAUACAUAUACAUAUAUCUGAAAGUGAAGGAUUCACGUGGCAUAGCCUCGUUUCAAAGAAGCCACAUCAUUGGACAUCUCUUGAUUCUCUCAUGCGUGAUACAGACGAUGUAACUCGACAUAUUUUUUUCAUCCCCCGUAACUCGUCAAACUUGAAAUUGAAUUUAACCGAAUUAAGAAAUGCGACACAAUAUCCUCAAUGACGUCGUUUUAUCCUCGUCAUAAGCUAUGACUAGACUAAUUCAGUGCAUUCGACAUAGAUGAACGAAUGAUUUUUCUUCGAAAUAGGCACUGCUACGAAAAAGAAUUACACGUUUGACCAUGAAUUGGCCUAAUUUACUAUUUAUCAAGAGCUCUGGGGUUUCUUUAUGAGCCGUAUUAGAAGAACGAGUGUGACGCAUUUUCAAAAUUACUACGACGACGAUCUUAUUCGAAGGAACUUAAAGGAUAAAAAUAAGAGAAAUGAGAGAAAGAGCAAGAGAAAGCGAGAAAAUGUAACAAUUAUUCGUACCUGGUGCUGUCGACGUUCGACGUGAUGUCGGAAUAAUUCAUUGUUCAGGAUUAUGCUCGAUCUUGUGGAUUUAAUGAUGCGUCUACGAAGAAGCGACGAGACAGCUGACUUUUUCGGGCUCUUACACUACACUGUCACAAAGCGUUGCUUCACGCGAGGUGAAGAAAAACGUGCGUGAUUGGACUUCCUAAUAUCUCUGCCCCUCUUAGUGCCUUAGUAAAAAAAAAAAAAAAAAAAAAAAACAAUCGUUCGAUCAGAUUAUUGGGUAAGAGUCACAGUUAUGGGGAGGACGAGAUAGAGUGGAAAAUCGUUGAUGUUGAUUAGCAGCGCCAUUCUCGUACGAUAACAUAAGCUUCGUUAUAUGCAUAAAAAGGUCACGUGACGUUACGAGCGUCAUCUCUCGCCAGAUCUAUGACGUAAAAUCAGUCUUUUUGUCGAUGUCGUCAAGAAUUAUUUCGAAAACGCAAUUAACUUACAGCACGCGCGUACUCUUUCCUUUAUAGUAAAGCGCAUAAUGCAAAUAUACUCGCCAAAUUUUAUUUUCGAGCACGUAACAUGCACGAUCAAUUAAUUAUUAAUACUUUUGUCGCUUUUCCAAUUUUUCAUAGGAAAUAAUCUACGUAAGUAGUACCUAGGGAACAUAAAACAUUUCGAUCUAUGUAUUGAUCGGCUAAACAUUACCUUCAAGAAUCUUCUAUUCCAAUUCGACGGGUUAUGGCCUUGCUCUUUGGAAUUCCACAACGUACGUUCACUUUUUUUCCUUCUUCUUAAACAAUUGAACGAGUUCGGUUAUUUGCUUUUCAGGCUUUCAACGCUUUUUCCAUGAAUUUUCAAUAACAUAUAUCGUUUUUUCAUUUUGCGUCAAUAAGGCGAAUCGUAAUACAUAUGUAUAUAUGUAUAAGUUAUUAACAAGUUGGAGACUUUGAUCGCUAAUAAAAAAUGUUUUUUACUAAUUCUCUCAUGGAUAUCUAUGAAUACAAAAACUGAUAUAUUUAUUUAUUUCUCUAUUACGUGGAUUGCUAAGAAGGAAUGCGAAGAGGGGGAAAAAAAAAUAAAAAAAAAAAAAAAAAAAAAAAAAAAAAAUGGAAGAGACAAUAGCGAAAUUAUUUUCUUUCGUAUUACCUCGAUUAAUGAUUCUUCUUCGUUUAUUAAUCGUGGCUUAGAUCUGUAAGAUUAUCGGCCAAGUAAUGUUAUCAAGUAAUGAAAUAAUGUACAGAUAAUUGUUGUUGGUGUUCCUUAGGAGCACAUAGAUAGUAUUUAUACCGCACGUAAUAUAUGCGAAUUCAAUACAAUUCUCGAUACCCUGUUCAAAAUAAUAUUGAAUACCUGUUCGAAAUGUAUACAAAGAAACUCGUUUUACUGCGUACAAUUCUUAAACACACACGUCAUCUGACCAUCUGCUUUAUUCGAUGUACAUGGCUUAUAGAACCGAAGAAAUAUAAUAUUCGUAUAUACACGUAUUCACAAUAGUGAAAUAGAAAGUUCGAACUUUGUUUGAUAGUUACCAAGGCAACCGAUUUUGUUCGCACUUAUUAUCAAUUUUUUAUUGACGCUUAUAUAAUACAUGUUAUACCUUAAAAGAGCAAGAUAUAUAUCAGGUAUGUAAAUUUAAUUAUUUACUUUUGUUCAAUAUCAACUCGUUAAAUCUCUGUGUUUCAUGUAAGACAUAGGAAUACUCGAUAAAUUUUGUUUGCCUAACGUCGUAAUUCUAAUCUUGAGAAGAAAAAAACGAAAGAUUCAUUUUGAUUAAAUCAUGAUGUGCCGAGUAUUGUCACCUUCGCCGCUAUACCUUAGAUUCUAUUCAUUUUGUAUGAAUGGCAAUAUAUGCCGUGGAAUUACUAAAUUUCCGGUAUUGUCGAAUGUGGAAAAUCAAAGAUGCAUAGAUAUAAAUAGCAAUGAAGUUAUAUCGGCACGUAUGGCUCAAUCUCACGCAGCGUCAGCCGUUAGCGAAACUUUAAAUCGUGAUGACACGCUACCUUUGAUGGAGUCAACGAGCGCGGAAGUGAUGUCGGAAACCUUUGAAUUAGCGAGUAAAUUCUUGCGACCUACCAUCGAAGAUAGGGCUCCAUUAUCCUUCGAUCAGAUACCAGGUCCCAUAAUAAUGAAGCUCUGGGAAAAAUAUUGGAAAUACGUGCCGAUUUUUGGUACGCAACUGUUUUCCAGUCUGCUAAUCAACAGAUUCAGCCAGGGACGUUUAAGUUGGAAUCGCAACAUUACGCCGGUUAAAUAUCUUUUUAAUAGAUACGGUUGUAUCGUAAGACUCAGUGGUCCAUUAUCCGGUGAUAUCGUCAUGAUUCAUAGACCAGAACAUAUAGGAGAAGUUUUUAAACAAGAAGGCGAUGCACCUAUUCGCAGUGGUAUCGAUGUUCUUGAGCACUAUCGUCUUCACUAUCGGAAAUAUCGUCUCGCAGGUGCUUUUUCAAUGCAAUGCUCGGAAUGGUUAGAAUUGAAAGAAAAAGUACACAAAUCGUUCAACAAGAUAGACUCAAAGUUUCUCAGAAAGCUUGAAAUAAUUUCCGAAGAUUUUAUUGGUCAAAUACGAAAAAUACGUAAUAGACAGGAUGAAGUUCCUAAUAAUUUUAAUGAAGAGAUUGCUCGCUGGGGCUCGGAAUGUUUCUUCGCCCUUAUAUUCGAUAAGAAGCUUGGAUUUCUUGAUUCAACAGGGCAGAAUCCUACUUCGGAGCCAGCAAUAUUCAUUGAUGCGCUUGCGACCGCCCACAGAUAUUUAAGUCGUUGCGAAACUGGUUUUCAAGUAUGGAGAUUCUUUGAUACUCCCUUUUCCAAACGGCUUUUUUCGGCGUGCGAUGUUAUCGAUGGUAUUAUAAGUAAAUACAUUCGUCAAGCACAAAAUAUGUUUCGAACCCGAUCGCCGUUGUCUUGUUCCGAUGAAACUUCGCCCAUUCUAGAAAAGUUGUUAUUAGCCCAACGUCUUCAUCCCGAUGAUGUUUCCACCUUAUUGAUGGACAUGGCAAUUUUGGGAGUUCAAGCAAUGACAAACUGCGAAGCGUUUCUUUUAUAUUUCUUGGCGAAGAGUCCCAGAGUUCAAAAAAAAUUAUACGAAGAGAUCGUUUCUGUUAUUCCUAACGCGGAAUCUUCGAUAACCGAAACUAAUUUGCAAGACAUGCCGUAUUUAAAAGCUUGCUUGAAAGAAAGUCUAAGAUUGCGACCUGCUUUUCCCUACAUUACCAGACUAUUACCAAAUUCGAUAUGUCUCCAUGGAUAUACAGUACCAAAAGGGUCAAAUAACGUCGCAACGCGAAGAAAAUUUCGAAGAUCCGGAGAAAUUUCGUCCGGAAAGAUGGUUAACGAAUCAAAUGGAUGAUGAUUUUCAAGAGUAUAGUUUUUUACCAUUUGGACAUGGCGCACGAUCUUGUCUGGGAAGACAUAUGGCGGAAAUAAAAAUGGCAUUGCUUACGGCAAAGUUGGUCCGGGAGUUCAAAAUCGAAUAUAAUUACGCCGAUAUUGGAACAAGUUUUUAUAUGAUGAAUGUACCUGAUAAACCUCUUCGUUUUCGAUUUAUCGAUAGAGAUUGAAAUAAUGAUUAUUACAUACUUAGAUCUGACAAAAUAAUUUUCUUAUAAAAAGUUUUUUCUACGAGUUAAGAAAUAUGAAUUAUACAGGAACUAACAGUAACUAGACAUUAUAUUAAUUCUAUCGAGUGUUGUAUUUAUAUUCGGUAACUUCUCUCAGUUAUAAGUGUGUUCAGUAAUUGCUAUUACUAUUUAUUUUAAUAAAAGUAUGUUAUAUAUUAACUUUUAUCUUUUAACAUUCAAAUUUAUUUGAAAGAAAGCACUAUUUGGGAGAUAACAAUUUCAUUAUACCUACUGCCGGAAACGGAUAAUAUACAAUGGUAGUUUCAUAAAUAUUACAGAACGUUUACGGUGGAUAAUUUGAGUUAUCGUUCAAUUGUUGAAUAAUAAUAAUGGAAUCCAUCAUGAAUAGAAAAUACUGAAAAAUUUCAUUUUAAAUAAAUUAUUUAUUAAUAAUUGAUAUAAACCAAAACAAGAUUGUAACUUAAAAUGUGUUAAGGUUACUGACCUUGUAAACGAAGUGAUGGCCAAAGUCAAAUAGACCCACCCCGGAAAGCCUUAGUCAUUUUUGUGUAAUUUGUAGAAUAAAUUGGAAAAUCUAUAGAACAGAAAGUUUUAUAGACGAUUAUAAUGUCAUCGACAUUUCUCAUCUUCGUUUAUAUAAUUUGAUUCGAUAAAGCUAUCUUACCUCUUCUUGUCUUUCUGGAUCGUACGUGAAAUCUCUUAAAAUAUGAAGGGCGUGUUCCGUAUAUUUCACCUAAAUUACAUUGUAGUCACUUAUAUAUUUUAAAAAGUAUUUAUUACUUUGUAAACAAGUAAAAUACAUUUAUUUAUCAUUGUUAUUACCUUUGUGCAACAUUUUUCGAUUGUGUUAUUUAUAAAUGUCACGUUAAACAAUGAUAUAACCAUCGACAAUACUACAGGCGUAAAAUCAAACAUAUAGGAUAAUGUAAAUUUAAAAUAUAUAUGUUGUGCCUGUACAUAUCCCAAUAUAUAUAUUAAUUGAGUCACCAUUUCAAUAGUUAGUUGUAUUUCAAAUGUUUUGUGAAAUUCAUAACAUGUUUUUGAAAGUUCCAGGUGUACGUGCCUUUGGUAAUAUAUUUUCAAUAGAUUAAGUAGGGAUAUUUUGUAAGAUUAUAAAUAAACAAUAAUUAUUGUAUAUUUACAUUAUUGUUAAUAAACUUCGUUUAUACUGAGGAGUA